GAUGAACGCUAGCGGCAGGCCUAAUACAUGCAAGUCGAACGAGAUUAAGAGGCUUGCUUCUUAUGAAAGUGGCGCACGGGUGCGUAACGCGUAUGCAACCUACCUUAAUCAGGGGGAUAGCCCGAAGAAAUUCGGAUUAAGACCGCAUAAAAACACAGGAUAGCAUUAUCCAAUGUUCAAAUAUUUAUAGGAUUAAGAUGGGCAUGCGUGUCAUUAGCUAGUUGGCGGGGUAACGGCCCACCAAGGCGACGAUGACUAGGGGAUCUGAGAGGAUGACCCCCCACACUGGUACUGAGACACGGACCAGACUCCUACGGGAGGCAGCAGUAAGGAAUAUUGGUCAAUGGAGGGAACUCUGAACCAGCCAUGCCGCGUGCAGGAAGACAGCCCUCUGGGUCGUAAACUGCUUUUAUUCGGGAAUAAAUCUUUCUACGUGUAGGAAGCUGAAUGUACCGAAGGAAUAAGGAUCGGCUAACUCCGUGCCAGCAGCCGCGGUAAUACGGAGGAUCCAAGCGUUAUCCGGAUUUAUUGGGUUUAAAGGGUGCGUAGGCGGCUUAUUAAGUCAGGGGUGAAAGACGGUGGCUCAACCAUCGCAGUGCCCUUGAUGCUGAUGAGCUUGAAUACACUAGAGGUAGGCGGAAUGUGACAAGUAGCGGUGAAAUGCAUAGAUAUGUCACAGAACACCGAUUGCGAAGGCAGCUUACUAUGGUGUUAUUGACGCUGAGGCACGAAAGCGUGGGGAUCAAACAGG
Molecule: ribosomal RNA, 751 nt
Filed under: uncultured Pedobacter sp.
Lineage: Bacteria; Pseudomonadati; Bacteroidota; Sphingobacteriia; Sphingobacteriales; Sphingobacteriaceae
Description: bacterial SSU rRNA
Rfam family: Bacterial small subunit ribosomal RNA
Source: RNAcentral